GAGUUUGAACCUGGCUCAGGACGAACGCUGGCGGCGUGCCUAAUACAUGCAAGUCGAGCGAGCUUGCCUAGAUGAUUUUAGUGCUUGCACUAAAUGAAACUAGAUACAAGCGAGCGGCGGACGGGUGAGUAACACGUGGGUAACCUGCCCAAGAGACUGGGAUAACACCUGGAAACAGAUGCUAAUACCGGAUAACAACACUAGACGCAUGUCUAGAGUUUGAAAGAUGGUUCUGCUAUCACUCUUGGAUGGACCUGCGGUGCAUUAGCUAGUUGGUAAGGUAACGGCUUACCAAGGCAAUGAUGCAUAGCCGAGUUGAGAGACUGAUCGGCCACAUUGGGACUGAGACACGGCCCAAACUCCUACGGGAGGCAGCAGUAGGGAAUCUUCCACAAUGGACGAAAGUCUGAUGGAGCAACGCCGCGUGAGUGAAGAAGGGUUUCGGCUCGUAAAGCUCUGUUGGUAGUGAAGAAAGAU
This 477-nucleotide ribosomal RNA is filed under the name uncultured bacterium. RNAcentral's name for it is "bacterial SSU rRNA". It matches the Rfam family "Bacterial small subunit ribosomal RNA", at positions 9 to 453 of the family's 1533-position model. The record is from RNAcentral.